Molecule: long non-coding RNA, 510 nt
Filed under: Homo sapiens (human)
Lineage: Eukaryota; Metazoa; Chordata; Mammalia; Primates; Hominidae
Description: non-protein coding lnc-SLC39A4-1:2
Source: RNAcentral
GCGGCCGCCAGCGUCCUCACCACCAGCGUGAGUUGGGACUAGGGGUUGGGUCUGGGUCCAGACCCGGCCCAGCCAUCACACACCUGCCCUCCCUCAGAUGGUCACCAUGGAGCCCGGGUACCUGUUCCUGGGUUCUCGCCUGGGCAAUUCCCUCCUCCUCAAGUACACGGAGAAGCUGCAGGAGCCCCCGGCCAGUGCUGUCCGUGAGGCUGCCGACAAGGUGGGUUUCCUGGGCCCAUUGGGCCACCACCCUUCAUGUGGGCACUGCUGUGGCAUGCCACUCAGUGCCCCUCCUGCCUCACAGGAAGAGCCUCCCUCAAAGAAGAAGCGAGUGGAUGCGACGGCCGGCUGGUCAGCUGCGGGUAAGUCGGUGCCGCAGGAUGAGGUGGACGAGAUUGAAGUGUACGGCAGCGAGGCCCAGUCGGGAACACAGCUGGCCACCUACUCCUUUGAGGUGAGAUUGAGGCAGCAGGGCCCCCGUCCCAGCCAGCGCCCCCAGCGGGCCCCUGA